AUUGAACGCUAGCGGGAUGCUUUACACAUGCAAGUCGAACGGCAGCGCGGACUUCGGUCUGGCGGCGAGUGGCGAACGGGUGAGUAAUGUAUCGGAACGUGCCCAGUAGCGGGGGAUAACUACGCGAAAGCGUAGCUAAUACCGCAUACGCCCUACGGGGGAAAGCAGGGGAUCGUAAGACCUUGCACUAUUGGAGCGGCCGAUAUCGGAUUAGCUAGUUGGUGAGGUAACGGCUCACGAAGGCGACGAUCCGUAGCUGGUUUGAGAGGACGACCGGCCACACUGGGACGGAGACACGGCCCAGAGUCCUACGGGAGGCAGCAGUGGGGAAUUUUGGACAAUGGGGGCAAACCUGAUCCAGCCAUCCCGCGUGUGCGAUGAAGGCCUUCGGGUUGUAAAGCACUUUUGGCAGGAAAGAAACGUCGCGGGCUAAUACCCCGUGGAACUGACGGUACCUGCAGAAUAAGCACCGGCUAACUACGUG
This 484-nucleotide ribosomal RNA is filed under the name uncultured bacterium. RNAcentral's name for it is "partial 16S ribosomal RNA". It matches the Rfam family "Bacterial small subunit ribosomal RNA", at positions 29 to 507 of the family's 1533-position model. The record is from RNAcentral.